This 657-nucleotide ribosomal RNA is filed under the name Pieris rapae (cabbage white). RNAcentral's name for it is "partial 16S ribosomal RNA". Lineage: Eukaryota; Metazoa; Arthropoda; Insecta; Lepidoptera; Pieridae. The record is from RNAcentral.
GGGGGUAAAUUUAAUAAUUUAUAAAUAUGAAAAAAAAUUUUAAUAUAAUAUAUUUAAUGGGGGUUAAAGUAUUUUUAUAGAAAAAAUUUAAAAAUUUAUAGUGAAAUAGUAUUGUAAAAGAAAAUUGAAAAUAUUGAAAUAAAAAUUUAUUUAAAAGUAAAUUUUAUUUAUUGUAUCUUGUGUAUCAGAGUUUUUUAAUUAAAAGAAAUUAGUUAAAUUUAUUUCGAAAUUUAAAGAGUUAAUUAAUUAAAAAAGUUAAUGUUGCAUAAUUAUUUUAAAUAAUUAAUUAGAAAUGAAAAGUUAAUCGUUUUGAAUGAUAUCUAAUUUUUUUAGAAAAAAGUUUAAUUUUAAAUAAAUUUUUAAAUUUAUUUAUUAAUUAAUAAAUUUAAAAAUUUAAUUUUAUAUUUUAAGGGAUAAGCUUUAAAUUAUAUUUUUAUAAUAGUAAUAGAAAUAAUUGAAAUUUUUAAAAUUUAUAUUUUUUAUAAAUUAUAGUUUUUUAUAAAUAAUUUCAUUUAAUUAAAAUUUUACAUUAAUUUAAAUUUUUAUAAAAAAAUAUUUUUUAAUAAAAUAAAAAUAGAUAUAAUGAUAAAAUUAGUAUAUAAUUUAUAAAUUAAAUAAAAAAUUAUUUAAAUUAAUAAAAAGGAAUUCGGCAAAAAU